This is a long non-coding RNA of Ictalurus punctatus (channel catfish), 2334 nucleotides long. NCBI's taxonomy places the organism in Eukaryota, Metazoa, Chordata, Actinopteri, Siluriformes, Ictaluridae. The record is from Ensembl.
UGGCUCUGAUCUCCACUCCACACAGCCGCACAUUUCAGCACUGACGCGCUCUCAGGCUGAACAAGCAGACCACACAGACCCGAAAUGACAAAACCAUGUGUGGGCUGAAGUGCACUUCCUAGUGAGUAGGCUGAAAGAUGGCUUCCUUUGACUUAUGGAAUCAAAGUGACAGGGUUGUUUACUCUACAUUCCACUAACAGUUAAAGCCCGGCUCUAAAUACGUCCGAGGAAGAAGCCCCUCUACUUCCGCCUGUGACGUAAAGACACUCUGUCAAAAUCUUGUAAUUUUAGCGAAGCAUUGCGCGGGUCUCUGUACACAUUUAAUAAGUAAAUAUAGGAAGGUCAACUUGUGGGGGUGUACGAGCCAAUAUUUGACUUCUGUUUCAUAGUUGUUGUACAUUUAUCUUGGCACGGUUAUUAACUUCGGAAUGUUGGGAAAGAUUAGACGACUUACUUUCCACUUUUGGUGCUGAUGGAAAUAGUUUAUCCAAAAAUCAACACAAUGUCCCUCUUACUUAAUACAUUCAAUAUGCCAAGUUGUGUUUUUUUUUUUUUUUUUUUGGUCUGAAGUUUAGUAGUGGAGCUGUGAGGUUUUGUAUUAGAGCUGUGAAUCAUAAACAGUUUCAUUUCAAAUUUUAGCACCUCCAGGGUUGGCGGGUUCGACUCCCACCUCCACGCUCUGUGCGCCGAGUUUGCAUGUUCUCCCCAUGCUUUAUGGGUAUCCUCCUCCACUCCAAAGACAAUUUGUCCGUAGUGUAUGAAUGUGUGCGAUUGUGUCCUGCAAUGGGUUUGCACCCCGUCCAGGGUGUCCCUCACCUUGUGCCCCGAGUCCCCUGGGAUAGGCUACCCACGACCCUGUGUAGGAUACGCGGUACAGAAAAUGGAUGGAUGGACUGUAGGCUACAUCUACUAGCUGAGCCAUGUGCUGCAGAAAGCAUUGUUAAAAAUGGCCGGUAUGAAAGUUUUUAGCUCUGAUAUGUUGUUUUGUCCAUUUUGUCAAUAGAAGAUAGUGUGUCAUACAGUGUCUGUUUGCGAUAAGUAACAGCAGAUGUCGGUUUGAUGAGUUAGGUACAUUAUGCUGCUAAACUGACUCAGUGCUAAAGUGGAGGCUACAUGCUUUUCUGCUCACCACGGUUGUAAAGAGCACUUUUAGAACAGCAGGAGAACAGCAUUUUCUGAAUUAGUCAAACCAGCCUGUCGGACACUGAGAUGACAUGUUUUCCUCAUUCCGAUGUUGGAUGUGAGCAUCAGCUGAAGCUCUUGACCUGGAUCUGCAUGAUGUUAUGUAUCGCACUGCUGCCACAUGAUUGACUAUAUUAUUGUCUGCAUGAGUUUGGAUACAUGUGUUCCAAAAACAUGGGUGGGCUCAUUCAUUGGCCUCAUUCAUUCAUCUUCAAUAAGCGCUUUAACCUUGGUUGAGGUGGAUCCAGAGCCUAUCCCAGGAACACCGAGGAUGAGAUGGGAAUACACCCUGGAUGGGUUGCCAGUUCAUCUUCCAGGGAAAAACUAAAGUAGCAAACCUCGGAAAGCAAACAUCACUAGCUGAUUGACUACACUUGGGCAAAGGGGAAAAUUGUGUAAUGACAUUUUUGGUUGAAUUACUCUUAUAAGAUGGGGAAACAAAUUUAAAAAAAUAUUCAGUGACUGGAAAUCAGGAAGUUCUUGACGAAAUUCCAGUGUCUGUGAAGACUCACCAGUUCAUAAUAUCGUUACAAAUGCUUUCAGUAACUUUUGAAAAUCUUUUGUCAUCUUUCCUUCCUUCCUGUCAGCGUGGGCUGUCAGCCUCCACCAGUUUGGUAAAUGAUGCUGUUAUCUGUCGUAAAGGCUAUUCGUGUAUGAACCACAAGAGUCCUCCUAACACUGUUGACAAAAGGGAUCUGUUUACACGCUCUCAUUCACAUUCCCUUACACUCCUCCACACUCACAAUAAGGAUUCCAUUGUGUCUCUCAGGCAAAAUUAUACAGUUAUACUGUUCCACACAAAACCAUUAAGUACUCAUAAUCCUCCAAAACACUAACUUAUUCAGAGAAACAGUGUAUUUUUGGCACGUAUUCCAAUGUAUUGUGAGUUGACAGGACUGGGUUAUGAGAAGCAUGGUGUCAUGCCGUGUGUGAUGGCGAUAUCUCAUCAUUUGUGGUUUGGACGACUUCUCAAUACUCUGUAAUGUCAUAGCUUUUACCCAAUACAUUAAUGUAUUAAUACAAUAAAAGUUAUGAAACUGCAUUUUUUUUUUGCAGUGCCUUCAUUUUACUUUAAGUCUGUACUGCUGUGUAUAUAUAUAUGUUAGAUGUAGAUAUAUUCUCCAUGCUACAAUUUAGCCAGUGCUAUAAGUU